UCCAGCCACUCCUUUGCUUUGAAAGCCCUGUAUGGUGGGUAAAGGAGAACUGAAGAUCCGACGGAGGAGACCACUACAAACGCACGUACCCCGGCUCUUUUAACCUUCAUCUAGCAUACAUUGAACAAGCUAAAUGCGGGAAUGCCGUGCCCUGCUGAAAUCUGAAAGCCUCUUGGGAAUGUAAUCUGCGUCCGCACCAUGAGAAUUAACCACCACGAUUUGAAGGAGUGAGCGUGAGCCCUCAGGGCGGCAGAGGCGGGACCAUGGAGCCGGACGUCAUACGGAUGUACUCUUCGUCUCCGCCCCCCCUGGACGACGCGGCCGAAGAGGAGGAUGAGGAGUUCGGCGACUUCGGCGGCUUCUCGGGGGUGGCUUCCAGCGUGAGCUUCGGCGAGUUCGAGUCCCCCAAAGGCUGCGGCCAACCUCACGCCACGGACACCUCGCCCCCCGUCCACUUCAACGCGGUCGCCUCCAGCUUCCCUCCAGACCUUGUCCCGGGGGGUCCGGGCAGGGGCUCCGGCGUGGCCCAACCGCGGUCCGACCACGACCCCCGCGCCCCCGGCUGCAGCCGCGCCUCCCCGCGGUCUGAGAGGACCUGCGGUGGCGAGGCGGUCAGGAAGCCGGCCCCCAGGACCCAGACGGCCGACGGGGCCCGAACAGAGAGCCGCGCUCGAGACCGCAGCGGGGACGUGGCAGCUCCGGAGGUCCUGACCAACGGGUUUGCGCCGUUCGACGCAGAGGAAGCCCCUGUGGUCAGGCCCAAAAAGAGAGGGCCGGCCGCUAAGCCCGCCCUGGACUGCUGCGGGCACAGGCCUGCCACCGACCCCGCCCAAAGGGACACACCCAGACAGUGCAGCCAGGUUUCAGACUCUCGAGACACCAACGGACUACCGGAGGGGAAAUACCUGGCCGGCCCAAUCGACAAACUGCACUCUGGGACAGGGCCGGCUGAUAGGAGCGUUGAAGGGAAUGGGGUCGAGGACGACGCGUGUAGUACCGGCUCCCUGACCGUGGCCCGAGAAGGCCUAAAGAACGGGGCCUGGGGCUCCUACACGGGGGAGGACUCUGAGCACAGCGACCCCGAGCUCUGGACCGCCCCUCUGAGUGAUCGGCGGGACCGAAGCCCCACUGUUCGGUCCGAGGAGGCGGGUGAGCGGCAGGGCUCUCCGUGCUGCAGGACGGAGGGAGCUGGCGAGGACGGGGGGAUGAAGGACGAGUGCGCCGUCGCCCCGGGGACCGUCAGCGCGUCGGUCAGCGACGACUUCGCGUCCUUCUGUCAGGCGGUGUCUCCAGACGGGCUGGAGGACUUCGGGGACUUCAGCGUGACCGGAUUCGCUGCCCCGCCCUUCCCUGAGGGGGAGCGGCCGCCUGGCGACAGCGCUGAUGACGAGGAGGGGGGCAGCUUCGGGGACUUCGGCCGGACGGGCCCCGCGAUGCCGGAUACAGCCGCCGAUUUCACCACCGUGGAGUCCGCCCAGGAGGAGUUGUUUGGGGAGUUUGGCGGUCCAGAAGAUGGCGCGGGCGGGAACGCGGGGGGCGACCCGGGGGGCUUCCCGGGCAGCGACAGCUUCGCCGACUUCACCUCGGCGCCCACGGGAGCAGAACCGGACGCCGCCGCCGGGUGGAACGCCUUCGGCCAGCCGGAGGGGGCCGCCCCGGACCAGGGGGACUCCUGGGCGGCUUUCCGGGAGGAACGAGGCGCCGUGCCUGCGGACGAGAGUGAGAAGACCUGCUGGGACGCUGCCGUCACAGCGCCCCCAUCUGGCAGCCCCCAGACCUGCAGGAGGGACAGCUUAUCGGUGACCCUCGCCAGCCGGCUGGAGAGGCUCUUCAGGGCCAGCUUCCCCGAGACGAGGGGGCCCGACUCUGGAGAACAGGUCCCCUCUCUCAAGGCUGUCCUGGAGCCCCCUGACGGACAGCCGGAGCCAGGGGAGGAGCGAGGCUCUGCCCGCUACAGGGACCCAAGGGAUGUGUGGUGGCAGCUACAGGACAUCCACGACGCGUUCGGCCUGAAGUUCCAGUGGGGCGGCUCCCAUAGCAACCAGGCGCUGCUCUGCUCUCUGGGAAUCGACACCCGAAACAUCAUGUUUGCUGGCCAGAAGAAGCAGCCUGUGACUGUGCCCGUGUAUGCGGCCGGCCUGGGUAUGCUAGAGCCCACCAAAAAACCUGUGAACCCCCUCUCAGUGGCAGAGAAGAUGGCGUCCAUAGCACAAGCACCUUCCUCGUCUCCGGAAACAAGCUCUUCACCGCAAUCCACUCAGCAGGAGGCGCUCCUCCCCAUCCAGUUUGACUGGAGCAGCAGUGGCCUUAAUAACCCUCUGGAUGCUCUCUGGGCCCGUGGAAGGUUCUAGUAGUAUCAGCCCCACCUCACUCCCAGGUCAGCAGGCAUCACUCUUCUCAAUUAACCCGUGAGAUCACACAAAUCCCAUUAUGACGUCCUUAACUGACCGCUCUAAUGCUGCUGUAACGGCCUGUUCGUAGUCCAACAACAGUGUUGCUCAACUGCCGCCCGACGCAGACUGUGGUCGUUGUCUUGAGAGAAAAGUAUGAAUUGACUCCAGUCGCCCACAGUAAAACCAAAUGUUAUUGCAACCAGCCGCACCCAUUACAUGUUGUCUGUCCCAGCAACACUGUCGCCGAACUAUAAACUGCCCUUAACGAUCACUACUGGAAAUUGUUCAGUAACACUGGCUAACAAGAACACAUUCCAAUAAACCUACUGUUCAAAGGAUUACUCACAAGAAUCAAGAAAGUUCCCCGAGUUGAGGUUUUUGCUCGUUCACAUCCAGUCACAUCCAUUGCGCGUGUCGUUGAAACUUUUGGCCUCUGCUCCACUGGAAGAUAAUCCAACUGAACCGAAACGUUAUGUUCUAACGACCCAUUGCUAGCCUUCAGCAGUCGAGACUGCUGUUCAUGCUGUUUGUUCUUACUUUCCCUAGUGGUCUCGGUUUCUAAAAAUCCCUUUUGCGUCCAUUGUUUGUCAACAUCGGCUGCGUUACUUGUUUUAAGGGUUUCUUUUUUUUGAAUCCCAAUUUAACGCGAGAAAAAUGGUAUGUAUGGAAGAGACACCACCCCCCCCCUCCCCAUAUUGACUAUUUUGCUAACAGCUUCUUCAUAGUUUUCCAAACUCAGUUGAUUUAUCAUGUCUCUAACAAAAUAUUUUUUUACCAAAGUUACUGCUAAGUGUAAAACAAAUUCUACAGAAAGUAGUGGUAGCUGAGUUUCUGGAGCUCGUCAAAACAUUGGGUUCAGAGGGAUCUCUGUGAAUUUACUCUUCUGAAAGCUUUCUGUCCUGCUAUUCUUCUACUGUGGACAGCUCCUCACCACCUGUAAGUAUCUCUUUCUUCUUUCUGAGCUUUAACUAAACAAAUCACAUUCACCCAGUUCUUUUGAGUAGCUGUUUCUCUUGCAUGCGUGUAUCCGUUGUUUUCUGCGUGCGAUUUCCUUUGCAGUGGAGAGAGACGUUACCUGCUCCCAAUGACAAAGAUAUUCUGUGUGGCCGAUAACCUUGGUUUGUGCGUGAAGAUCUAUGCUGUUAAAACAUGAGUGGUCGUUUUCAGUUCUCUCUCCACUGGUUCUUUGGGCUGUGGGCAGCAUCAGACGCAGAGUGGUGUAGGAUGUCAGUGAUGUCGGAGUGUGUGUAGUAGCAGCAGGGCUGAGUGUGUGUAGUGGCAGCAGGGCUGAGUGUGUGUGUGUGUUACUGCAGCCAAGCUGGGGACCAGCAGAACCAGCAGCCUACCCGACGCUGUCGCACGCCUCAUGUCUGCUGUGGAGAAGACCAGCAGCUCCUCCAGGAACCCCGGGCGGGAGGGGCCCCUGAGCGAGGAGGCGGGCAGGGUGAUGCGGGCCCUGCCG
This is an RNA transcript of Conger conger (European conger), 3855 nucleotides long. It is a transcript of the gene named aftiphilin b, with no coding region annotated. The record is from RefSeq and is a predicted model, not a curated record. Lineage: Eukaryota; Metazoa; Chordata; Actinopteri; Anguilliformes; Congridae. The transcript has 9 exons.